Non-coding RNA from Vicia faba (fava bean), 249 nucleotides. Lineage: Eukaryota; Viridiplantae; Streptophyta; Magnoliopsida; Fabales; Fabaceae. The record is from the annotation of a GenBank genome assembly.
AUGCUACCUGAGGAUGACGGAGAGAGAACGAUAUGGUGGUUUGGGCGUACAAUAGUCACAGAGAUGAGAGAUGGAGAGAUAACAGUUGAAGUUGGAAGUUGGAUUGAUGAUGGUCGAAGAUCGGAAAUUGAAGGGAGUAUGAAGUUGGUGAGUGAAAGCUCACAAGAUGAUGAUGGUGUUCAGCAUAUGAUUCGUAAAAGGGCAGUGAAGAUUGAUAGUGGUACGGAAUGGUACCAGUUUACUGCAUGA